Molecule: non-coding RNA, 5599 nt
Organism: Nothobranchius furzeri (turquoise killifish)
Lineage: Eukaryota; Metazoa; Chordata; Actinopteri; Cyprinodontiformes; Nothobranchiidae
Source: RefSeq, a predicted model, not a curated record
CGGCCACGGCCACCAGAUUUUCACAUCAGAUUUUUUGGGGGGGCCGGACUAGGAUCACUCACCAGAAGUUUCGUGGCGAUAUCUUUAGAAAUGACGAAAUGGGAGGCAAACCAUCAACAUAAAUAUACUGGACAUCUCCUUUCCAUAGGCUCCAAUAUCACGUUUUUGAGGCCAAACGGGAGGUGGCCACCACCGCCAUUUUGACCAUGUCACAGGUUCCAUCAAGCCCAGACAAUUCCAAAAAAGGGAAGAGAGGAGGAGCUGAGGGUGGGGCUGUAAGGCUGGGAUCACCUGACGACACCCGGUCGAACUAGCUACAAGCUGACCUGAAGCUAACCCUGGCUAACCCAAAGCUAACGCGGAGGUGGGAGGAAAGCUAACGGAUGUAGCUCCCUAGCUUCAACUGGAGCUAGGAUGGAACACCCAUCGACCUGAAGCUCACACGAAGUUUAGGUGGAGGUUUGUGGCGCUUUUCCGUGAAAAGUACCUUUCUGUGACAAAAAAAGGAUUAAAUCUGUAAGUUUUAUAAUUUAUUUCCGAAAUGAAAAUAUACUUUUUUGAGCAAGUUUGGAAUAUUUUUAACGUACCGUAUUUUCUGGACUAUAAGUCGCUCCGGAGUCACACCAGCCAUAAACUCUAUAAUGAAGAAGAAAAAAACAUAUAUAAGUCAUAUUUUGGGGGACAUUUUAUUAUUUUUCUUACAAAAUCUGAGAUCAAGCGUUUCACAUUGCAAGACAAGCACCGGUAACAAUAACAGAAUAAACAACGCAGGCACAGCAGUGCGCCACGGUCUCCAGCAGAGGAUGGCGGUGUUUGAAACCCUCCCAGCGGGACAGGGUAACUCAUUCUUGGGUCGGAGUCAGGUCGGAGUCGGCUCGCAGCAGCUCGGUGUAGCCUACAUAUUUUGUUAUAGAAGUCGCUCCGGAGUAUAAGUAGCAGAACCGGCCAGACUAUGUAAAAAAGUGUGAUUUAUAGUCCGGAAAAUAGUAUUUGAGAUAAAUUAGCAGGCUAAAUACAUUUCAUAUCUUUCCAAAACGUAAUACUUGUUUGUAUCUUGUACAGCCAAGUAGCCUUUAUUCUGGACUCAGUACAAUUCACCUAAAGUAAAGAGACAUUAUACAGAUGAAGUAAGCACAAGAUAACUUACUGGAAGAAACAGAAUUAUUAUCAUGAGAACCAGAACAAGACAGCCUGAUAAAGUCACGUUAAAAUAACAGUUAAAAAGUAUGUAUCUAUAAUAGAAAUAAAAAUAUAUUAGAAUUAGUGUAACUCACUGUGAUCCAAACAAUAAAUCAGCAAUAGCUGAUUAGCAAUCAUGAAAUGAGGUCUGGGAGUUUUUAAGUUUCAUUCUUUAAUUACAUUUUUUUCUUAGAUCUGUUAAAAGGUCACCAUGGCAGCCUGUGUAUCUCCAACAUCAGCUACACAUCGCAGCGUCCAUUUGGAUAAUUGGAGACAGCUACGUGAGGCGUGGUGCCCAGAGAGCUGCAGAGACCCUCGGAGACAACCUUGGCCUCCCUGACUUCUGUGUCUCCUGGUUCGGUUGGGGCAGACUGAGGUGGAAAGACCUCCUCCCCUUCUUUUUCUCCUCCCUGCAUGGAAGAGCAGCUCCUGAUGUCCUCAUCAUCCACUGUGGCGGCAAUGACAUGGGGGUGGUCAGCAGUGUGAAACUGGUCAACAUGAUGGAGGACCUGCACCGGCUUCACCUUCUCCACCCUCAUAUGACCAUCAUCAUGUCGUCUAGCACCCAAAGGUGUAGAUGGAGGGCAGGUGUAAAACCUGCUAAAAUUGAGAAGGCCAGGAGAACUUGGCGCGGUUCCAUCGACCCAGUCCAACGCUGAACCCGGCGCGGUUCCACUGGCCCGGCCCAAUGCCGAACCCGGCACGGCUACACCAGCCCGGCCCAACGCCGACCCAGCGCGGUUUCACCGACCCGGCCCAACGCCGAACCCGGCGCGGCUACACCAGCCCGGCCCAACGCCGAACCCGAGGCGGUUCCACCAGAGGUACUUAACCAGGUUCUACCGGGCCUGGAAACAGCAUCGGGUGGAUUCUAUGGUCGGUGACGAGUAGAUACAACGAUCGGAAACAGCGGCGGCAGAGUGUGGAUUGGAGAAGGGUCUGGAAACAGCAAUGGAGGCAUGUGGAUCCUACGGUCGGCUCCUGAACAAGAAGCAGCAAAGUUGCAACUAUAAGUAAAAAUGCCACCUAAAAACUAAGAAGAAAUAGAGGAGAUAAAGAAAGCAUUAGACUUCAUGUCAGAAGAGCUAUCUACAGUUGCUAAGCAGCAAAAGAUGAUCAUGGAUCUCGUAGGAGAAAUUAAAGAGUUAAAACAUCUAAAUGAGGACAAAGAUAGAAGGAUUAUAAGUCUGGAAGGCUAUAUAACAGAACUCGAGCAGUACACCCGCAUGAAUGAUGUCAUCAUCUGCGGAUUGGAGAUCAAGCCCUGGUCUUACGCCAGGGCAGUUACACAGCAGGAAGGCGAGGUGCACACUGACAUGGACACGAACUCUCUGGAGAACAAGGUGACGACCUUCCUUACUAAUAAAGGAAUAGCUAUAUCUAACACAGACAUUGAAGCUUGCCAUCCAUUGCCCCGUAAAAUCAAAGAUGCCAAACCUGCCAUAAAUUUACGAUUCACAAACGGGAAAUUUAAAAAUGCCCUCCUCAAACAAGGGAAAAAUCUCAAAGGAACUGAAAUGUACGUGAAUAAACAUUUAACAAAGAAAAAUGCAGAGAUUGCAAGGAAGGCACGUAUCUUAAAAAAACUGAGAAAAAUACAGUCAACAUGGACAGCAAACUGUAAAAUAUUCAUUUCCAAAGUCUUAGCGAUUAAACACAUAGAGGAGCUGGAAAAGUAUGAGUGACUAUGGAAAUGAAUGCAGGUAAAGUAAACCAUAAGAAUAAUGAUGACACAAUCUUCUGACCACACAGAAUAUAAAGUAUACGAAUUAGAUAACUAUAUAGAUCCAGAAAACUAUCUCUAUGACAAUACAAACAACUGUGAAUAUUUCAUAGAGGAAACCUUUAACAAUAAUGUUAAUAUGGACGGAGCAUUGUCAAUAAUUCACUUCAACAGCAGAAGUCUAAACAAAAAUUUGGGUAAAAUAAAGGACUACUUGAAAAACUUUAAGAAAUUCAAUAUAAUUGCCAUAUCGGAGACCUGGCUAGACAAUGAUAUACUCACUGAAGUGGAAAUAGAUGGAUGUGAACUAUUCACAAUGAACAGGAGAAAUAAAAAAGGAGGUGCAUCUAUGCAGCUAAUGACCUGAGAUGCACAAUGCUCAAAAGUAUGACUGAAACAGUUGAAAACAUCUAUGAAUGCUCAACUCUGGAGAUAAAUAUUGAAAAAUCUCCAAAUAUAAUCAUUUCUUGUAUUUACAGAACACCUGGAAGCUGCCUCCAGACUUUUGCAGAUAGAGUAAACGAGAUAUAUGACAAAGUAAAUAACAGAAAAUCGAUAACAGUAUGUGGUGAUUUCAAAACAGACCUGUUAAAUCCAAACGAACAUGUUAAAACCGCUGAUUUAAUAAACACAAUGUACACCACCAACUUAUUUCCUUUGAUCACAAAACCUUCCAGAAUAACAGUAAAUACAGCAACACUAAUAGACAAUAUAUUCAUAAAUAAAAGAGAAAAUAAAAUAACUAGCGGGUUACUCAUCAACGGUGUUAGGGACCAUCUUCCAGUAUUUGCCAUUAUACAAAACUUGAAAAAUACUGGAAAUAACACAAAAAUAGACAAGCCCAAACUGACCCGGUGCCGAACAGCGGAACACAUUGCAGCGUUUAAAAUGGACUUAAAGAAUGAAUUCUGGGAAGGACUGUUCCAAGUAAAGCAUUUGAAACCUUUUUAACAAAAAUACUUGAAUUAUACAAUAAAAACUGUCCAAUUAGAAAACAAAACAACAAAAUAAUAAGCCAUGGAUGACAAAGGGUCUACAAAAUGCCAGUAAAAAGAAGAAUAGACUAUACAAAACUAUUCAUAAAAACAAGAACAAAAGAGGCAGAAAACAGAUACAAAUCAUAUAAAAACAAACUAACAACUAUAAUUAGAACUAGUAAAAAGAAAUACUAUGACAAAUUACUACAACAGAACAAAAGUAAUACCCAAGGAAUAUGGAAAAUAUUAAAAAAUAUUAUGAAUAAUAACGAUAGCAAAAAAAGCCCAAUUGUGAAAAUGGAAUUCCUAUAAAUGAACAUGGAAAAAUUGCUAACGUACUAAAUGAUUAUUUUGUAAAUAUCAGGACCAAUCUAGCUAAAAAUAUAGGGUAACCCAAAGUUGAAAUGGAUGUUACUGAACACAUAACUGCUAAUAUAAAUACCAUGUUUAUUAAGGACACUGAUGAAAAAGAAGUCAUUUCCACUGUAAAAAAAUGUAAAGACAAUAGAUCAAAAGACUCUGAGGGUUUUGACAUGUCAUUAAGAAAAAUCAUAACAGAAUGUAUUGCAAAACCGUUUGCAUACAUCAAAAUCAAAUCAUUUAAAAUCAUUUAAAUCAAUCAUUUAAAACAGGCAUUUUCCCCAGUAAAAUGAAAAUUGCGAAAGUUAUACCAGUAUAUAAAUCAGGUGAUAAAAAACUGUCAUCCAACUACAGGCCAAUCUCUCUAUUUUCUCAGUACUCCAAAAUAACAUUUGUAAGCAGAUUGGAUGAUUUCAUUGAAAAAAAAUAAUCUAAGUGAGCACCAGUAUGGAUUCAGAACAAAAAGAUCAACGGCAAUGGCAACAAUUAGCAUGGUAGAGGAAAUAGCUAAAGCGAUUGAUAAUAAAAUUAAUACAAUAGGAAUUUAUUUAGAUCUUAACAAAGCCUUUGAUACAAUAGAUCACAAUACCCUGCUAACCAAAUUAUAUAAAUAUGGCGUAAGAGUGUCGCGUGCCCGUCCCAUUUACCGGUUCCUUUAAAACCCAGUUCCGUUAGAACUUAUGAGACGGUGCAUCCAUCAGGGUUCGGGGGUGUGUCGACGAGUAUAAUCGUACUAGACCCGGGUUUGGACUACCUAAUUAGAAUCUUGUCUUUUAUUUUAAAGGUGAAAUAACUUGCACGAAUAGCCAGCCCCAGAGUAUUACACUUCUUUUAAACUCGUUACCUUUUGGUUAAGAUACUAGAGAGAAGUCUGGAGGCAAGCCAAGCCUCUCAGCAAUUGUUUGGAUUACCCGGAAUUAAUUGCGCCUCUAACAGCUUAUGUGGGAGGUUGGUAACUAUAAAAUGAUUUAUGCUAGUUGAUCAGGCUAUCAUAAUUUUAUCAAUUUAUUUAUUAAUCCAACCUUCCAGCUGAUUAGAGACUUUUUCAACCUGCAAUCAGAGCCAAAAUAACCUCGAAUAUUUUGCUUUUAUCGCCCUUAAGACAACUCGUUACUCGCAAGGAGGGGAAAGUUAAAACUUCCCUUAUCUUAAGGUUUCUUUAUAUUAUUCUGUUAUAAACUGUAAAGUAAGUCCUGAUAAUUCAGAGACCGAUCUUCGACAUGCUUACCUCUGUGCAAUUAUGGCCAGGGCCCCAAACGUGAAGCUUUAGAGAAAACCUGAAAGAAUCAGGAUUAUGUUUCUUUUUCAAAAAAGGUUUAUUACAAAAUCAAAAUACAAAAAAUGGGUAAAGUGAAAAACA